GGCCGCAUGGCCCAAUGGUCAAGGCGCUUGACUACGACUCCAGUCGAAAUCAAGAGAUUCCAGGUUCGACUCCUGGUGUGGUCG
This 84-nucleotide transfer RNA is filed under the name Terfezia boudieri ATCC MYA-4762. It matches the Rfam family "tRNA". Rfam says of the family: Transfer RNA (tRNA) molecules are approximately 80 nucleotides in length. Their secondary structure includes four short double-helical elements and three loops (D, anti-codon, and T loops). The record is from Rfam by way of RNAcentral. Lineage: Eukaryota; Fungi; Ascomycota; Pezizomycetes; Pezizales; Pezizaceae.